CAAAUCCUUAGUUAGGGUCACACCAAG
This 27-nucleotide non-coding RNA is filed under the name Mus musculus (house mouse). The record is from RNAcentral. Lineage: Eukaryota; Metazoa; Chordata; Mammalia; Rodentia; Muridae.